Ribosomal RNA from Oryza sativa (Asian cultivated rice), 744 nucleotides. It matches the Rfam family "Bacterial small subunit ribosomal RNA", at positions 874 to 1520 of the family's 1533-position model. The record is from Rfam. NCBI's taxonomy places the organism in Eukaryota, Viridiplantae, Streptophyta, Magnoliopsida, Poales, Poaceae.
UGCCUCGGCUGAUUCCUGGACGAGGGUUCACGCACAUGUAAGCGUUUGGAAUUUUGGAUAGAAAUUCCGGGCGUGACAACCUUACCAACCCUUGACAUGUGAACAACAAAACCUGUCCUUAACGGGAUGGUACUGACUUUCAUACAGGUGCUGCAUGGCUGUCGUCAGCUCGUGUCGUGAGAUGUUUGGUCAAGUCCUAUAACAAGCGAAACCCUCGUUUUGUGUUGCUGAGACAUGCGCCUAAGGAGAAAUUGUGGUACGUAGUGGUAAUAGUACGUGCCCCGCUCCGAAACAAAGAAAAAGGUGCGUGCCGCACUCACGAGGGACUGCCAGUGAGAUACUGGAGGAAGGUGGGGAUGACGUCAAGUCCGCAUGGCCCUUAUGGGCUAGGCCACACACGUGCUACAAUGGCAAUGACAAUGGGAAGCAAGGCUGUAAGGCGGAGCGAAUCCGGAAAGAUUGCCUCAGUCCGGAUUGUUCUCUGCAACUCGGGAACAUGAAGUUGAAAUCGCUAGUAAUCGCGGAUCAGCAUGCCGCGGUGAAUAUGUACCCGGGCGCUGUACACACCGCCCAUCACACCCUGGGAAUUGGUUUCGCCCGAAGCAUCGGACCAAUGAUCACCCAUGACUUCUGUGUACCACUAGUGCCACAAAGGCCUUUGGUGGUCUUAUUGGCGCAUACCACGGUGGGGUCUUCGACUGGGGUGAAGUCGUAACAAGGUAGCCGUAGGGGAACCUGUGGCUG